UACGGGGGGGGCAAGCGUUGUUCGGAAUUACUGGGCGUAAAGGGCUCGUAGGCGGCCAACUAAGUCAGACGUGAAAUCCCUCGGCUUAACCAGGGAACUGCAUCUGAUACUGGAUGGCUUGAGAUUGGGAGAGGGAUGCGGAAUUCCAGGUGUAGCGGUGAAAUGCGUAGAUAUCUGGAGGAACACCGGUGGCGAAGGCGGCAUCCUGGACCAACACUGACGCUGAGGAGCGAAAGCCAGGGGAGCAAACGGG
This 253-nucleotide ribosomal RNA is filed under the name uncultured bacterium. Its description in RNAcentral is "partial 16S ribosomal RNA". It matches the Rfam family "Bacterial small subunit ribosomal RNA", at positions 524 to 776 of the family's 1533-position model. The record is from RNAcentral.